Molecule: non-coding RNA, 22 nt
Filed under: Arabidopsis thaliana (thale cress)
Lineage: Eukaryota; Viridiplantae; Streptophyta; Magnoliopsida; Brassicales; Brassicaceae
Source: RNAcentral
UAAAAAGCUCGUAGUUGAACCU